RNAcentral lists this unclassified non-coding RNA (230 nucleotides) under Hevea brasiliensis (rubber tree). Lineage: Eukaryota; Viridiplantae; Streptophyta; Magnoliopsida; Malpighiales; Euphorbiaceae. The record is from RNAcentral.
CGCCAUUGCUUCUUCCCUUUCUUUUGAUGUAAUUUGAAUGGACUCCAGCUCUUUCUGCGUGCAGAAGUCUCACAAAAGAGCCCAGAAGCCAAGGCCUGCUGAAGCCACAGCUCAAAUUCUUCUUCAUUCUCAUCCAUCAUCUCAGCAUCCAAAUCCCAAGGGAAUCUGCUUGACUUGCAACGUCGUGGCUUCUCCAAACCAACCAUGUUUACAUGGAAGCUAGGCCUAUG